UACGUAGGGGGCAAGCGUUAUCCGGAUUUACUGGGUGUAAAGGGAGCGCAGACGGUCGUGCAAGUCUGAGGUGAAACCCCACCGCUCAACGGUGGGCUUGCUUUGGAAACUGUUCGACUAGAGUGCUGGAGAGGUAAGCGGAAUUCCUAGUGUAGCGGUGAAAUGCGUAGAUAUUAGGAGGCACAUCGGUGGCGAAGGCGGCUUACUGGACAGCAACUGACGUUGAGGCUCGAAGGCGUGGGGAGCAAAC
This 250-nucleotide ribosomal RNA is filed under the name uncultured prokaryote. RNAcentral's name for it is "partial 16S ribosomal RNA". It matches the Rfam family "Bacterial small subunit ribosomal RNA", at positions 524 to 773 of the family's 1533-position model. The record is from RNAcentral.